UUUAUGAGUUUGACUCUGGCUCUGGAUGAACGCGAGCAACGUGUUUUGACACAUGCGAGUAAUAUUUUAUCUAUUAAGAUAUUGCGAACGGGUGAGUAAUAUUGGGUGUUUUUUUUUCAUUUUUGUGCGUAACUGCGCUUAACCAACUUGGUCGAAAAAUGAAUAUCUUCUUGGAUUAAACGUUAGUUCUUACUAGUUGAUUAUUCCUAGUUAGGUUGAGAGAUUAUCUAAUCACAUAGGGACUGAAAAGGGCCCUACCAUCGGCAGCAGUGGAGAGUAUUGGUCAAUGAGGUUUUUACCUUGAACCAGCGCUUUGCGGGGGUGAAUGU
This 329-nucleotide ribosomal RNA is filed under the name Moneuplotes crassus. Its description in RNAcentral is "partial Bacterial small subunit ribosomal RNA". It matches the Rfam family "Bacterial small subunit ribosomal RNA", at positions 1 to 412 of the family's 1533-position model. Lineage: Eukaryota; Ciliophora; Spirotrichea; Euplotida; Euplotidae. The record is from RNAcentral.